CCUCAUGCUAACAUCACCUCCACCGUCUCUGAAUCUGAACUGCGAGCUCUCCGGAUUCGAUAUCAUGUUCCGGAUAACUUUGCUAUGAGGGCUCCAGCUGCUGAGGAGCGAAUGUACCAGCGACCAGACGGAUGGGUCGCCAUGCCGACUACUCUGCUGGAAAAGGGGAUUCGCCUACCCCUCCACGCCUUCAUAGUUACCCUCCUAGGGUUUAUUGGAGUAGGCUUCGCACAACUGGUGCCUAACUCCUAUAUCCAUAUACUGGCGUUCAUCGCCUUCUGCCAUGAAUUAGGGGUUACCCCCUCUGUUGAUCUCUUCUUCACCCUCU
Molecule: long non-coding RNA, 328 nt
Filed under: Panax ginseng (ginseng)
Lineage: Eukaryota; Viridiplantae; Streptophyta; Magnoliopsida; Apiales; Araliaceae
Description: long non-coding RNA (PGIN_LNC009591)
Source: RNAcentral